CGGGCGCUUCUAAGGGGUGGACCCCGCUCCUGGACGGUGCGCGACAUGGUGCACGGCGGGUGCUGGGACCGGUUGGGACAUAAAGAAAUAGAGAGAAAACUGAAAAGGUUGACACUGAUGCCUGUCACAUGUACCAUAAGCCAUAGGAGUGACCAGAGCUGCCCAGACGGACCGCCCGGGCCCAGUCCUGGUAUUGUCGGCAGAUUACCCUUAAAGGAGAAAGAAGCUGGAGCUGGGAUAUAAAGUAGUCUUCUAGGAGUACUGCCAGAACCGAUCUGUUUUUACUCUGCUGCUGCUGCUGUUGCUGUUCUGCUGUGUCAUGGGAAGAGAGUUACCUAGCCCACACCAACCCUCAGAAACAGCAAUGAGCCACUUGCUGCAAACUCGAGCUGUGUUUUAUAGAGCUGAAGGAUGAGUUUUCCUGGUGCAGGAUUUCAACUGGAAGAAGAAGGAUUCACUCCCUUGCUGGGCUCCGACAGGGACAUCGCUGUUGGGAGACUUGCAGGAGGCAGAGUGGCGGCGGCAGCACUGACAGUGCAGCAUCACACAGCUUUAUUUCAUGUUGUCGAGGCAAAAUGCUUUAGGUUACAGCUGAGGAGAAAAGCAAAACGAUCCAUUUCUGUAAAUAGGGUUCUUUUUCCCCAAUUUACUUUAAAUUCUUGAAAGGUCUUGUGCUAAGAAAGAGCAGGAAUUCUGCCUCCUCUUAAAAAGCAUUGUUAUAAAAUCUUUACAGUCUCCUUCCACCUGAGCCUGUUUCCUUCAAACACUUGCUUUCAGAAACAAGAGGUUUAAAGGUGACUCUUCUCUUUCCCUUCCUAAGUUUAUGUUCCUUGGAAAGGCCUGAAGAAGCCAAAGGCUGUGUCUGCCUGUGAAUGAAGAAGUUUUGAGUAAACACCAGCAUGCACAUAUACACACAUGCACAGGAUUUAAAGCAUCCCAUUGAAGUGCACAUAUAGGAAAAUCUUUCAUCAUAUGGUAGGCUUUAAUAUCUGCCUUAAAAUUAAUCCCUGACUGAUGGACUCUGUUGUGGCAGAUCACAGGAGGCUCAGUACUGAGGUUCUCUGCAGGGUUUUAAAACAGCCAAAUAAAAUCCCCCCAUUUGCUUUUGGGUUAAUUUGUGGUUUAACAGCAGCUACCUGGGAAAUGCUCAUCUUGUGAGAGCAAGUAAGAAAACUUUAUAAGGCUCCAGUCCUAUUUUUUCCACAACGAAAUAAAGACCUUUCUUGUGGGGUCAGGACAAGAUCUGAUGCUAUUCCACGAGGAAACGGUUAAAGCACCCUGCAGAGUUCUUCAGUUCCUCUGUUAGAGGUAACACCCCUGGGCUUUAUUAGAGCUCGAGCUUCGGACACGGUUCUGGUUACUUCUCAGCAUUGUCUUUGCUUCAUUUUGGUUAGUUUUUGUCACUGAAAACAAAUCUUCUCGUUUCACUUCUCUUUCUAAUUUAUUUCACUCUUUAGUUCCCACAUGUUAGAAAGUGCAGUUUCAUUUCGGCUCUUGACAGCAGAAAGCCCCAUUCCAGAAAGCAAUUUUCAGCAAUGUAUUUGCUUUGCCACUCACUGCGCAAACAGAUCUAAGCAUAAACAAUGCUGACAGGCCCUCAAAACCAAGCCCAAAUUGUGAAACUGGGGCAAAUAGCCUAGAGAACCUGAAAUGUUUUGGGUUUAAAACACUGCCUGCUGUCAAAAAGAGGGUAAAAUAAAGCUUUGUUUACGUGUAGAGCUCAGUGUUUGUUGAUCAAGUUUCUAAGGUGAUGUAGCAGGAAGUACUGAUCUUAGGCAAAAUGACAUGAACAAAGCAUGAAACUAUAAUUCAGCAGCUAUUUGUCAACUAAUAACAGGAAAAUAAAUGAUGUUUAAAAAGCCGUGAGGGGUUGCCAUUGAACUUUUACUCCUCCUUACUGGUGAAUAUAAAGGCAGCCUCUCACCUGCUCUGCUCCUGUAUAUAACUGUUUGCAAGAGUAGAGUUAAAUCACUUGUCAGGAGGAAUGUUUCCAUGGGAUGCAAAUACUUACACUAGCUGCCCUUUCUACGUCAUGUUACGGACAAGACUGAUGCUCGAGCAAGGUUAUAAUGUACCUGCAUCUUCUCCAGCUUGGUGCCAAGCUUGCUGAGUCAUUUUCCCUGUUCCCAUUCUGCAGUCGGCUGCUCGCUCGCUUUUCCCUGUUAUUUGUGUGGGUCGUAAGCUCAGCAACAGAUGAAAAUAAACGCUGAGAUUUCUUCA
Pezoporus occidentalis (night parrot) is the source of this 2220-nucleotide long non-coding RNA. RefSeq lists it as uncharacterized. The transcript is spliced from 3 exons. Lineage: Eukaryota; Metazoa; Chordata; Aves; Psittaciformes; Psittacidae. The record is from RefSeq and is a predicted model, not a curated record.